UGGUGGAGUGAUUUGUCUGGUUAAUUCCGUUAACGAACGAGACCUCCGCGUGCUAAAUAGUUCCGUUUACAAUUUUUGUAGGCGUGGACUUCUUAGAGGGACUUUUGGGUAAUCAAACCAAAGGAAGUUGGAGGCAAUAACA
This 142-nucleotide ribosomal RNA is filed under the name uncultured eukaryote. RNAcentral describes it as "partial 18S ribosomal RNA". It matches the Rfam family "Eukaryotic small subunit ribosomal RNA", at positions 1299 to 1458 of the family's 1831-position model. The record is from RNAcentral.